This 108-nucleotide unclassified non-coding RNA is filed under the name uncultured Archaeorhizomyces. RNAcentral describes it as "sequence contains ITS1". The record is from RNAcentral. Lineage: Eukaryota; Fungi; Ascomycota; Archaeorhizomycetes; Archaeorhizomycetales; Archaeorhizomycetaceae.
ACGAAUGGCUUCGGCCUUCAACUUCAAAACCCGUGGAAUAUAGCCGUGCUUCGGCGCCUUGGCGUCGUAUUUAUGCAAUAUGUCUGUGUCUGAAUAAACCUAGAAUUA